GACGAACGCUGGCGGCGUGCUUAACACAUGCAAGUCGAACGAUGAAGCGGUGCUUGCACCGUGGAUUAGUGGCGAACGGGUGAGUAAUAUGUGAGUGACCUACCUUUGACUCUGGGAUAAGCCUGGGAAACUGGGUCUAAUACCGGAUACGACCAAUCUCUGCAUGGGGUGUUGGUGGAAAGCGUUAUGGAGUGGUUUUAGAUGGGCUCACGGCCUAUCAGCUUGUUGGUGAGGUAAUGGCUUACCAAGGCGACGACGGGUAGCCGGCCUGAGAGGGUGACCGGCCACACUGGGACUGAGACACGGCCCAGACUCCUACGGGAGGCAGCAGUGGGGAAUAUUGCACAAUGGGCGCAAGCCUGAUGCAGCGACGCCGCGUGAGGGAUGACGGCCUUCGGGUUGUAAACCUCUGUUAGCAUCGAAGAAGCGAAAGUGACGGUAGGUGCAGAGAAAGCGCCGGCUAACUACGUG
RNAcentral lists this ribosomal RNA (471 nucleotides) under uncultured bacterium. RNAcentral describes it as "partial 16S ribosomal RNA". It matches the Rfam family "Bacterial small subunit ribosomal RNA", at positions 28 to 507 of the family's 1533-position model. The record is from RNAcentral.